CACGAACUGAAACUACAUUUU
This is a non-coding RNA of Caenorhabditis elegans, 21 nucleotides long. Lineage: Eukaryota; Metazoa; Nematoda; Chromadorea; Rhabditida; Rhabditidae. The record is from Ensembl.